Molecule: long non-coding RNA, 737 nt
Organism: Carassius auratus (goldfish)
Lineage: Eukaryota; Metazoa; Chordata; Actinopteri; Cypriniformes; Cyprinidae
Exons: 5
Source: RefSeq, a predicted model, not a curated record
UUUUAAUAUAUAGUGACGUGACAUACAGGCGCGCGCUUCCACAACUGACGCACCGCGCGCACAGUAUUGACAAGAAAAGAGUUGUGAAACUUUCUAUCUCGUAUGGAGUUAUAACGUGAAAUAAUGACACAGACUGGCUCAUCAUCUAGUCUGCAGCAGAGACUGUUGUAUCAGAAGGACAGCGCGUUUGUUUGACGCACUUUUCACUUCAACUGUGUCUGACAGGAGAAUUUAGCUUUCUGAGCCUUCUAGCCGUUGAGUUACCAUGGCAACCGCGUACACAUCAGCUGCUGGAGAGGAGAGGACUCGUCUGACAUUUUCUCUGUUUCUCGUCAGUUAUACCAAAGAAAAGGCCAACAACUGCGACAGAUUUUGAUUUCAGGAGUGUCUUAAAAACCCUCUAAAACAGAGGGGAAGUUCCAAGAAAGUGUCUAAUGGGAGCUGCUGACAGAGAUAGAAAACACAGUUUGUUUAUUUCUAAUAAGGAGCUGGAGGCCGUGAAGAAACAGAUCCAUGAUAUCGUGGAGAAGCAGGCCCAGAUGAGCAAGUGGAGAGCUAUGCUGGAAAUAUUCAGGGGUUGAUGCUCAUAAGUCCAGGUGUAAGACAUGAACCAGGCCCUGGGCGACGACCUCUCUCCAUCCGCCGCCUCCGGUCUUCAGGAUCUCCACCAGAACCCGAUUCGCUCCACUUCGUGAGACAGAACACAACGCUGUGAUCAUCGGAGACUCCAUCGUCCG